UUUUAUGCGAUGACGGAGAAGUGUAUUUUGAACAUCAGUUCCAGAGAGUCGGUGGUCGCUGCGAACCGAUACUGAGCCUUAAUACAAAUCACUCCUGAGCAGUAUCUGCGAAAGUCUCCCAGUAGUGGAUACCGAUUAGCCUCGAUAACGGCUUAGGUUUAAAUGAACCGACAGAGAGGCAUUUCUUGUCGAAAGGCAGAAAUGCAAAGCAGGUGGUACCGCGGGUGAACAGCUCGUCCUUGCA
RNAcentral lists this non-coding RNA (244 nucleotides) under Geosporobacter ferrireducens. Its description in RNAcentral is "T-box sequence". It matches the Rfam family "T-box leader". Rfam says of the family: Uncharged tRNA acts as the effector for transcription antitermination of genes in the T-box leader family. T-boxes are found upstream of many aminoacyl-tRNA synthetase genes and some amino acid biosynthetic genes usually in Gram-positive bacteria. The record is from RNAcentral. Lineage: Bacteria; Bacillati; Bacillota; Clostridia; Peptostreptococcales; Thermotaleaceae.